RNAcentral lists this transfer RNA (88 nucleotides) under Serratia marcescens. RNAcentral's name for it is "tRNA-Arg(acg)". Lineage: Bacteria; Pseudomonadati; Pseudomonadota; Gammaproteobacteria; Enterobacterales; Yersiniaceae. The record is from RNAcentral.
CAGCUGCUGGAUCGGGUGAUCUGGGCUUACGGCGCCAAAGAGGGCCUGAAGUUCACGCUGUUCCGUCCGUUCAACUGGAUGGGGCCGC